UUGGAGGGCAAGUCUGGUGCCGGCAGCCGCGGUAAUUCCAGCUCCAAUAGCGUAUAUUAAAGUUGUUGCAGUUAAAAAGCUCGUAGUUGAAUUUCGGGAUUAGUACGUUGGUCGUGCCUUCGGUACGUACUGGUGUUACUGAUUCCUACCUUCUGACGAACCAUCAUGUCAUUAAUUUGGUGUGGCGGGGAAUCAGGACUGUUACUUUGAAAAAAUUAGAGUGUUUAAAGCAGGCUCGCGCUUGAAUACAUUAGCAUGGAAUAAUGAAAUAGGACGUUGACCCUAUUUUGUUGGUUUCUAGGAUUGACGUAAUGAUUAAUAGGGAUAGUUGGGGGCAUUAGUAUUCAAUUGUCAGAGGUGAAAUUCUUGGAUUUAUUGAAGACUAACUACUGCGAAAGCAUUUGCCAAGGAUGUUUUCAUUAAUCAAGAACGAAAGUUAGGGGAUCGAAGACGAUCAGAUACCGUCGUAGUCUUAACCAUAAACUAUGCCGACUAGGGAUCGGAUGAUGUUAUUUUUAAUGACUCAUUCGGCGCCUUACGGGAAAC
This 546-nucleotide ribosomal RNA is filed under the name uncultured Glomeromycotina. Its description in RNAcentral is "SSU rRNA". It matches the Rfam family "Eukaryotic small subunit ribosomal RNA", at positions 548 to 1098 of the family's 1831-position model. Lineage: Eukaryota; Fungi; Glomeromycota. The record is from RNAcentral.